This is a non-coding RNA of Heterocephalus glaber (naked mole-rat), 233 nucleotides long. NCBI's taxonomy places the organism in Eukaryota, Metazoa, Chordata, Mammalia, Rodentia, Bathyergidae. The record is from RefSeq and is a predicted model, not a curated record.
GGCCACCUCGUGUUACAAUCCUUCCUUUAUGAAAAUUUCUGACAGACUGAGAAAAUGAACGUGACCACAAGGGAAAGUGAAUCCUACUGAUUUCUGGAAUGUUCCGGACCUCCAGUAAUUUAGCCUUAGGCCACUGGGAAGAAGCAAGACGCCCUCUUCUGGUGUAUCUGUGUAGAAGAAACUCCUACAAAGCAAAUAAUGCCUUCCUGGGCAAGAACAGAGCAUGUGAAAAA